RNAcentral lists this transfer RNA (73 nucleotides) under Acidobacteriota bacterium. RNAcentral's name for it is "tRNA-Gly". It matches the Rfam family "tRNA". Rfam says of the family: Transfer RNA (tRNA) molecules are approximately 80 nucleotides in length. Their secondary structure includes four short double-helical elements and three loops (D, anti-codon, and T loops). Lineage: Bacteria; Pseudomonadati; Acidobacteriota. RNAcentral also lists the same sequence under 2 other names. The record is from RNAcentral.
GCGGGUGUAGCUCAGUUGGUAGAGCGUCGGCUUCCCAAGCCGAAGGUCGCGGGUUCGAACCCCGUCGCCCGCU